AUGUGUAUUUGCACCGAUCAGGACUUGAUGGUUGGGAACCAGAGAGUGUGAAGAUUAUCAGUCCAAAUUCGAGCCCUGUCACAUAUGACUUCAACACCUCCGCUCCCAAUGAGGAUUGGUACGGAGUCAAUUUGUGCCAGAUACAUCCUCCUCCUUCUCCAUUUGAACCUUCGCCUCCUUUUCCAAUUAAACCUCCGCCUUCUCCUCCAUCUUCUUCUCAUCAGCAUCGCGUUCCCGGAUUGUUCGGGCUCGUAAUGAUUCUGGGAUCCAUCCUGAGUGCUCUGUUGUAAGCGCCCUUGAUGGUUUGUUUGGUUUUAUGUAUGUGAUUCUGGGAUAGUCCUAAGUGUUUCUGUUAUGUGCUUGCAACUACUAUCUGCCGUUAUUUUGUCUGCGGCACGAUUGGUGCAAUAAUAUGUCAUGUUGUUAUUAGUUGUAAUAGGAUAUUUAUCCAUGUCUGCCGGAUAUUUUGUAAGCUUUAUAAUAGUUGUGAACCGUGCUUUUGCAGCUAUUAAUUAACUAAUGUUGUUUUGUUAUUAACUACUCUUUGCAUAGCCCCUUCAAGAUGGGGGUUUUAUUUCAUGAUCAAGAUUUUCCCUUGAUUUGAUUAUAUUUUGGGAUAAAAUUAUGUUGCAACUAUGGUAUGCUACUGCAGUUGUUUUCAGUCGUUAGAUGUACAGUUAUAUAGUUAUAUUAGUUGGAUCUAAUGAUUGAAAACAAUUGUAGUAUCAUAUUAUAGUUGUAACAUAGUUGGACCCCAAUUGCAUGAUUGAUAGUUUAUAAAAAAAAAAAAUUGAAUCUUCUUCAUUCACUAUCACUAAAAGACACAUUGAAAGAAGAUUUUAAAAAAUUCAUAAGAAAUCAGAUCAAGAAAUGAUCAUUUUCUUUCGUUUCAUGGCUUUGCCUUAAACGCAAUUGAGAGUGGCCUUGGGCUCUUGGACAUUUUAUUUAAGAAAGGUGCUGGAAUUAAUGGUGUUACUGGAGGCGUCGCUAAAAGCAAUCGGCUAUAAUUUACUUGGUUAUUGUUUCGCAGCAAAGCUCGUGUUUCUUGAUGUGUCGUCUGUGUGGCCGUUGAUUUCAAUUCUCGAUUACGUGUCAUCUCUGUUCAGUUGAGUGAGCUUUUUCUUUUUUGGUCCCCAUUGCCUACAGCCACGAAUUUGAAAAACGUAAGACAUGUCGUCAUGUAGACAAAUUUGAACGGUGACGGUGUAGUAGUGGAGCCGAUUGAGACACGAUAUCGACUGAUUAAACUUACUUUAUAUGGGAAUCUUGUGAAAUUUUUAAUUAUGAUUUUUUAGGGUGACGACAACUUAAUUCAUUUUUCUAUAGAUGCAUGAGUUGGUUUUGAAUCUUAGUGCUUUUGAUUUUUACAUAAAAUUAUAUUAUCUCAACUAAAUAGUCUAUACAGAUUACAAAUGUUAUAAGAAUAUACUUUUAAGUGUUGUGAGAUGUUUUCAUUACUAAUUUACUAGUACUAACUUUUUUUUUUCUAAAAGAUAAAUUAAUUAGCGUCCAAAAUAUUAUUGUAAGAAUAUUAUUAUAAAAAUUAAGGAAAAGUAAUUUUUUAAAAGAUAAAUUAAUUAAUGUUAAGAAUAUUAUUAUAAAGAUAUUAAUAUGAAAAAAAUAACAUAAUUAAUUGUAAAGACAUUUUAAAGUGUUGUUAAAAAUAUAAGUGCUUUGGGGUAUAAAAAAUAGUUACUUGAGUUCGAGGAGAAAGUUAUUUGGUCACAUGUGCAAGCGCGACCAACGUUCUGUUAGGAGAAUAGAAUCAGGUCGCAUGGCUUUGGUUAAUAUCUCAUAUUGUUGAGCUUCAUUUGGAAGCUCAUCCGUAACGUAUAUGCACGCUCUGCUUUAAUGUUUAAAGCACAAUCAGGCAUUAUAAUGGUUGCUCAACAACUAGAUAAAUUGAUAUAUUAACUCUUAGAUUCAAGUGGCAUACUCAAUUUGGUAAUGACCACGCAGUAAAGAACGAACAAUAACGCGCGACAUGCAUAGUUCUCUAUAAGAACUGGGGGAGAUCCAGAAAAUGGAUUUUUUUUGGGGUUUUGAUUAAAAAAAUAGAAUUCUAGAAAAAAUACAAAAUACUUAAAAUCACAAGUGUGACAUUAUUAUUUUCCUUACAAAGAAAAACCUGAUUGCUGACUUGAGCGUUGGAAGGUUUUUACUAGAAAAAAUACGGCGUCCCUGACAGUUUUCUGUUGUUGCAGAUCAAAGGAAAUGUCAGUACAAUUCAAAUUCCACUACAGUAUCAAGCGACAAAUGCCCCAUCAAAAUAAAUUAAAGUGUUGGCGAGACAAUUUGGUCGCCGACCGAAUUACGGCAUCAACAAUAAAAAUUAAAUAAGAACUUAAGUUAAAAUAUAGAAAUUAAAUAAAGAUUUAUCCUAAGUUUAGAUAUCAAAUUUACUACGGAUCUUUGAUGGAGAAAGUUACCAAAAGAAACAAAAAGUCCAAAUUUUUGUCUUCAAAAGAUAGUGCACCUAGAUUGACCCUUAUAUACUAGAAGAAAGAGAUGGGAUUGAUUAUCCUUCACACAAGCUUCAAGAUAAUUCUUUUUAACCAAAAAAAAAAAAUUGUAAAAGGGAUUAAGAUGCGUAAAAUACAUUUUUUUCCCCCAAAAUUGCGUAAAAUACUUGAUGAAAACAUGCAAGGCAGUGGAGUCAAACUCAAUCGAGACACUGAGUCAGAUAAUUUGAUAGUAUGGUUCACCAUUGUCGACGUCUGCAUGUUUUGUCAAAGAAUGACUCCCAACCGUUUUCCAACAGAAAAACGGGUGUAGUUGGCACUAUUGGUUAUUAAUUAUUUAUUAUUUUACAUUUUCUAAUUGAUUAUUUUAUCAGCUUCCACGUGUGGGUAAGUAUAGUAGAAUAUCAUUGAGGCUCUUUGAAAAAAAAAAAGAAAGUAUAUGCACCUAAUUUCGCUUGAGUAUCUAAUUUAACCAACCAAUUGUGGACCAUGAUAGCCUAGUCUUCUUGAUGUUACAGCCAUUAAAUUGCCAAUCGGUGCAAGCGGUUUUUUUUUUUUAAUAGUAAAUGAUUUCAUUUCCAGUAAAACACAAUAAUUAUAAUAAAAUUUCGAUCUUUAUUGGGACCUCUUCGAUCCACACUCGAGGUGUUGAAAUGAAAAAAGUUAUUUUUUUUCUAAAGCAUGGGCCACUAAGUUAUAAGACCUAAAAGUAUAAGCUAUCUGAUAUUGAUUAUUUUGUUCUAUCAUAACUCUAAUAUCAUAAAGUAUCCAAUCUAACUCUUCUCUACUAGAAGUACCAUUGAGAAUAAAGUUGACAACAUUCUUGGAAUCAUACCCUAUAAGAAGAGGAGAAAGAGCAACAUCCACUGCCAACUUUAUUCCUUCUAAAAUCACUGAAGCUUCCGUAAUUUCUACAUCUCCUAAGCAAGGUUUCUUUGAUGUUGCAGCAGCCAUUACGGCUCCUUGAUAAUCUCUGAGAAUCGGUGCAAGCGGUUUUGGCUCAAAAUGCUUGCUGGUCUUCUAGAAUCUCAUACUUAAUUGACUAGAGAAGUGGAUAGACCUUCACUACCAAAGGGUCACACUACCUCCUCCUUCGAAGUUCAUUUCUCUAGGAUAAUUAUACUUGAUUUUUUUUUCUAGGGAAAGAUUCAUUGGGAUAAAAACCCAAGCAGAAGAAAUAGAAUUUAAUAACUCAUAAUGUAGUGCCUAACGUGCUUCGAUUGUGAUGUGAUUAUGUAAAGCACAGAGUUAUAAUCAUGGACCAACUUGAAAUAUUACACUAGAAACUACUUCCACUUGGGUGAGAUAUUAUGCUCUUUAAGCAAUAAUUUCGUAUCAGUUCAAACAAUAACCUUGAUUGUGUUACUGAGUCUCAUGGCUUUUAGAUAAGUUAUUGAGGUAUAUGGCUUGUAGAUAAAUCACCGAUGAAGAAUAAUUUUCACCGAAAAAUACUAUAGGCUUCAAAUUCAGACUUUGAUGGAUUUGCUAUCUUCAAUUGAUCUUUAGGGGUUUUGGAAUCUUCAAAUGCAUGGCUUUAUAUGUGUGUAAGAAUAUUCAAAUUCUGUCUUCAUUCUGUCGGGUUUUCCUUGCAAUAUUAGUAACAAAUAAAUUUAAAUAAAAAAAACACACAAUAACUAGCCUCAUUUUGUUUAAUGUAGAAGAUCCAAAUUAAUAUGACAAUGAUAGAGAAUACGUAUAAUUAAAUAAACUAGUAAAAUAAAGAGUAGGGUAUAAGAUACUUUCUAUACCCGAGCAAUAAUCAUAUUGAUAACAUGUUAUAAUGUUGAUGAAUUUGGGUAGGAAGCAUUUAACAAUUUUAAUAGAUAAUAUAGAUGAUAUAGAGAUAAGGGGGCUGUGUCAUAUAAAUACAAAGCAUUUUUCUCCCACGCUUAAUUACGGUUGCGUUUAGAAUUGAGGUUAUUCAGUAGUAACUUAAAAGUGACAACACUAAAGUGUUUGGUAAACAUUAGCUGCUAUAGUUUGUAAGCUAUAUUGAUAUGAUUUUUCACUUGUAUAAUGAAAAGUUUAUUAUAUAUUUAAUAAUUUUGUCAAAAUAAUUAUUUAAAAUUUAUAUUUACUAUAUAUUAUUAACUUUUGUUUAAUAGUUAUAAAAUCUUUUUCACAGCAACUAUAACUUAAAAACUACAACACCUCAAUCCCAAACGGAUCGGUUGUCCAAUUUCAAUUCCUGUCUCACUAGAAUAAUAAGCUUAAUUAAGUGUUCAGCUCCUUAGCUUUAUAUCAUAUAGCCCCCUUAUCUCUGUAUCAUAUAUAUUAUGCAUUAAAAUUAUUAAUAUAUUCCCUACCCAGAUUUCUCUCAGAUUUGAUCGUGCGAUCUUCAAAGUCAAAAACUUUUAAAAAAAGAAAAUAGUCCGCGUACCUAAACUCAAUUUUUCUAUGGGUGAAUCUGACCCGUAGGAAAAAUAGUACAAACAUCUAUUAUGAUAACGAUACAUUUGAGGACGAUGGCCAAAUAUUUUAUUUUGGUGAAGAUAAGGUUAUAUAUAUUUUAGUGGGACUAUUGUCAUGAAUUUUUAAUCUAUUUAAGAUCUUGCAAAUUAAAAUAUCAAAUAAAAAACAAACAAACAAUAAAAUCAAUCAUAUAAUAUAAGAAUUUGCAUGAAAAAAUCAUAUAUUAAAAAAAACUAUAACUACAAAGAACAAUAAGAGAAAAAUCUAUUAUGUGAAAAAUUAUUAUAAUCAGUUUAAUAUUUUUUUCACAUACAAAAUACUAAUAAUAUCCUAUCUUUCAAUAGAUCUACCAUUUUUCUUAUACUAAAAACUGUUUAUUUACAGAGAAAUUGAGUGAUUUACAAGUGAACCCAACUUCUACAUUUAUAGUGAUUAUUUAUUGUACAAGUAAUAUUCAUUUUCUUAGAAGAAUUAUAUUCAGUCAUUGAAUAAGUUAAGUACUAAAACGAAAAGACUCAUUAAAUAAUAUUUUACUUCUCAUUUGAAGUAGCCACAUUAUUAAUAAAUGUUCAAAAAAUUAUACAAAAGAGAUUUUUCAAGUUAGAGCAUCACCAAAAGACUCUUCAAAUAAGAUUUUAUUAAUUAUUUGAAGAGCCACCUCAAUAUUUAAGGCUCCAAAAGACAUUCCAAUUAAGAUUCUUCAAAUAAGAAAUGAUUCUCUCUCUUCAAAUUUGGAGAGUUGAUUUCUCCCUCUUCAAUUUAUAUUUUAUUACUUUUCAUUGAAGAAAGAGAGAGAAGUGCUUUAAUUACUAUUGACUUUUCCUUUAAAAAAAUAAUUAUUUGAUUAAAAUAAUAUUAACUUAUUUCUAUUUGAAGAGUCUUUUGGAGAAUAUCAUAUUUUUUCACCAUUCUAUUUGCCACAUAGGUAAGCAAAUAAGUAUUUGAAGAGUAAAAUUUAUAGAGGCUUUUGGAGAUGCUCUUAGAUUGUCAUUCUCUCUUCUCAAUAUUAAAGAGUGACUUUUAUUUUCAAUUAAUAUUAUAUUAUUUUUUAUCUCAUUAUUAUUAAAAAAAUAAGUACUAUAAUUACUAUUAUUAUUAUUUUGGUUGAGAAAAUAAUUUAAUUAAAAUAAUAUUAAUUUAUUUUUAUUUAAAGAGUUUUUUAAAGGAUGUCAUAUUUUGUUAGGUAAAUAAAUAAGUAUUUAAAAAAUAAAAUUGGAAUAGUUUUGGCUAACGCUCAGUUGCUUAUAGAACAUGGCCGGCCGGCCACUACUCACACAGUGAAAAUAGUUAAAAGACAGAUUUGCCCUUAAGAGCGAUGGAACGUCGGGGAUUUGUAAAUUUCCCAAAAAACACAGGCUUGCUAACUUUUUAUUCACCCCACACGAUUCAACUACCCGCAGGCUGCGGCAACAUUAGCAUAUUUAAACAAGGUUUCUGGGGAAUUGAAUAAAAAAUUAACAGGAAAAAAGAAAAAAAAAUCGAAAAUCGAAAAUCGAAAAUGAAAAUCGCAGCUCCCAUUCUGCUUCUGUUGGCCUUUGCGUUCACGCUAUCUGAAGCCGAAACGACGAGCUUGCAGCUGAAGCCUCGAGCUUUCGAGUCCUUUAACGUUAGUUAUAUUCAGGUACCGUAGUUAUUAUUUUAUCUCUCUCUCUUUUUUUAAUAAAUUUAUUAUUUUUUGAGUAGUUGUUGAUAAUCGUUUAAUUUUUUAACCAAAAAAUAGAACCUAGGGAGCUGUUCUUACACGGUGGUCAUAACUACCAGCUGUUCCUCAAGCAAGUACACUCGCGAUCAGAUCAGUAUUGCUUUUGGAGAUGCUUACGGCAAUCAGGUUUUCAAUUUUAUUUUUUUAAAUUUAAAAGUAUCUUUUAAUUUCUUCAGUUUUUAAAUCAGUGUUUUUGUCCUUUUUUUUUUUAAUGGUGAUUCUGGAUUUCAUUUUUAGGAAGGAAAUUGAUAAUUAGAUUUUUGUUUGCUUAAAUGGAAAGUGAUGACCAGUGAUGUAGAAAUUUUUAUGUAUUUAACUGUAGGCUUUUUAAUUUCAUUUUAUUUUUGAGAGCAGAGCAGAGAAAGUAUAUUAGGGUAAAGUUCAGUUGGCUGGAGUUAAUAAAUGCAUGGAUGUAAGAUCAGUUUGGGUUUGAAUUGCAGUGGUUUUAGUCAACAAUUGCUGUGAAAUUGAAUCACUUGUCGUUAAGUUAUAAAGUUGGCGAUUAGCAGUUGAGUAAACUUCAGUUGUGCCUUUUAAAUUAAGUUCAAGCACAACAACCAGAAAUGGGCUCGUAGUCUUAGUCUUUGCAUUGGGUUCUUUUCAUUUGAGAUCCUGUUCCUGGGCGAAAUGCUUUUGUGCUCUUGAAGGAGAUAUUUGUUUAUUUCAGCUUAACACUAUAAUACAAGUAGACCACAAUGCCUAAUUGAAAAUGUUUUGUUCGGACCCAGAAUAGUCUCAAACUUGUAAACCAUCGUUGCGGUGGGGGGCACCUCCUUAGCUCCUUGCCUUCUUCUCAUGAUUGAUGGUUUGAGUGUCCCAGUUUGUUGUGCUAGUGUUUUCUUUGAAUUUCCUGAGUUCACUUUGAAGUAUGCUUGGCCAGAGCACAUAUCAAACUUCUUAUGAAAGUUGAACUAAUUUAAGGGAUUUUGAGUGGAAUUCUCGUAACCUAUUAGUAGAUGUGUUGUUGCUCCAUAUUAAAUACAACAGAAAGCAAUUCUUUAUGUAAUGCAUUCAUUUUGUUUCUAAAGGUCAGGUUUAUCUAGAAAUAUAAAACUACACUAUUCUUAUAGUCAAAUGUGGAUUACUAAUAUAUUUGAAACAUUUGUAAUCAGAUUUAUGCACCAAGACUUGAUGAUCCGUCUACCGAUGCAUUUGAAAGUUGCUCCUCUGAUACAUUUGAGAUAAGAGGACCAUGUGCGUAUCAAAUCUGUUAUGUGUAUUUGUAUCGAACUGGACCGGAUGGUUGGAAACCAGAGAGUGUGAAGAUUUAUGGUGCUAAUUCGAGAGCUGUCUCAUUUUACUACAACACCUUUAUUCCCAGUGAUAUCUGGUAUGGAUUCAAUCUGUGCCGAAGUGCUUCUUCUGCACAUCAACAACAUGUACCCAGAUGGUCUGUGUAUG
Molecule: long non-coding RNA, 7977 nt
Filed under: Citrus sinensis (sweet orange)
Lineage: Eukaryota; Viridiplantae; Streptophyta; Magnoliopsida; Sapindales; Rutaceae
Description: long non-coding RNA (CSIN_LNC003977)
Source: RNAcentral